This is a long non-coding RNA of Eriocheir sinensis (Chinese mitten crab), 1011 nucleotides long. RefSeq lists it as uncharacterized. The record is from RefSeq and is a predicted model, not a curated record. The transcript has 5 exons. NCBI's taxonomy places the organism in Eukaryota, Metazoa, Arthropoda, Malacostraca, Decapoda, Varunidae.
UCCCGAUGUAUCCAGACCAUCGCCAAGUGUCAAAUAAACGAUAAAUAUGAGAUUUCACGAAAGGCGACGCGGCAAUGUUACUGAGCUUUAAUGACGAGCGGAAUCAGUUGUUGUUUAGCAGGGGAAGGGGAAGUACACGUCUCUUGUACUUCCUGGCCAAACCUUACUCAGUGAUUGUCAUAUCCUCGUUAAAACAUGGCCAUUAGUGUCGUUAAUCGCGUUGGGUAUUGCAAUUCAUCGUUAACACCGCGGAGUAGCUGCAGAAGGCGUUGUAGAGGGCCCAGCGCCCCCCCUACCUAGGCCUCCCAUAUAUAGACCUAUGAGCAGGUGAUUUCGACAUGCGCCAGCUUGGGGUCGCCCCGCGGGGUCCUCCGCCCCAAGGGAAUGACCAGGACAUGUGCCUCCCCCUGCCAGGCAUGGUGGGGCGGAGGUGGAGCACCGUCACACCAUGAUAACAGGUUUCCCCGUGACCCGCAUGCCGAUUUCAUUGACCAGCGGGGCGAGCAGUGCUUCUGAGAGCCCUCACCCCAGCCCCGAGAGCCGCGGGGUGACCCACUGGACUCAAGGUGGAGUGAGGGAACGCAACACCUCUGGCCCUCCCUGGCGAUGGCGGGCAAGACUAAGACCAAGAGUUCCCUGAGCAAGCCUGGCCUGAGGAACAUUGCCUUGGUGUGUGGGGUGACCUUUCUCAUGACCCAGGAUGACCUGACAUGGCGGACACUAUGGUGUGUGUUGAUGCUGGGGCCAAGGAGAAGAAGAGGAGGAGAAGGAUGAUGAUGAUAGAGGCAAUAUGAAGAAAAGAAAAAAAGGAAGAAGAAUGGAGGAGGAGGAGGAGGAAGAAACACACACACACACGACAAACGCCUAUUUUUUUAUAUUAUCCGUUUUUAUUAGUCCAUAUAACAUUCAUUAUAUACAUAUACAACAUAUGCAUAAUUCUAUACAUUAGAUCAUAGAGAGUGAGAGACUUGGGAGGUGAGAAAGAGAGGUGCCCCCCCUCUCUCUCUCUCU